This 253-nucleotide ribosomal RNA is filed under the name uncultured bacterium. RNAcentral's name for it is "partial 16S ribosomal RNA". It matches the Rfam family "Bacterial small subunit ribosomal RNA", at positions 524 to 776 of the family's 1533-position model. The record is from RNAcentral.
UACAGAGGGGGCAAGCGUUGUUCGGAAUUACUUGGCGUAAAGGGCGCGUAGGCGGCCCGCUAAGUCGAACGUGAAAUCCCUGGGCUCAACCCAGGAACUGCGUCCGAUACUGGCGGGCUUGAACCCGGGAGAGGGAUGUGGAAUUCCAGGUGUAGCGGUGAAAUGCGUAGAUAUCUGGAGGAACACCGGUGGCGAAGGCGGCAUCCUGGACCGGUAUUGACGCUGAUGCGCGAAAGCCAGGGGAGCAAACGGG